Molecule: transfer RNA, 70 nt
Filed under: Teratoscincus microlepis (Small-scaled wonder gecko)
Lineage: Eukaryota; Metazoa; Chordata; Lepidosauria; Squamata; Sphaerodactylidae
Description: tRNA-Arg
Source: RNAcentral
CAACGACUAGUUUAAUCUAAAACAACUAAUUUCGGCCUAGUAAAUCACACGAUAGGCCUGUGGUCGUUAA